CUCUAACUCGUUUCUCUAGAGCCUUU
Molecule: non-coding RNA, 26 nt
Filed under: Mus musculus (house mouse)
Lineage: Eukaryota; Metazoa; Chordata; Mammalia; Rodentia; Muridae
Source: RNAcentral